CCUACGGGAGGCAGCAGUGAGGAAUAUUGGUCAAUGGCCGGAAGGCUGAACCAGCCAUGCCGCGUGAAGGUCAGUGCCCUAUGGGCGUUAAACUUCUUUUGUGCGGGAGCAAUAAUGGUCACGUGUGGCCAGACGAGAGUACCGUACGAAUAAGCAUCGGCUAACUCCGUGCCAGCAGCCGCGGUAAUACGGGGGAUGCAAGCGUUAUCCGGAUUUAUUGGGUUUAAAGGGUGCGUAGGCUGUGAGGUAAGUCAGCGGUGAAAUGCCCCCGCUCAACGGGGUGAAGUGCCAUUGAUACUGCCUGGCUGGAAUGGGGAUGCCGUGGGAGGAAUGUGUGGUGUAGCGGUGAAAUGCAUAGAUAUCACACAGAACACCGAUUGCGAAGGCAUCUCACGAAUCCGCGAUUGACGCUGAUGCACGAAAGCGUGGGUAUCAAACAGGAUUAGAUACCCUGGUAGUC
Molecule: ribosomal RNA, 460 nt
Filed under: uncultured bacterium
Lineage: Bacteria
Description: partial 16S ribosomal RNA
Rfam family: Bacterial small subunit ribosomal RNA
Source: RNAcentral